UCUCCAUUCUGGAGUCAUGAAGACCUACUAUAGUUACCAUGACCCUGUAUACUGUGUAUUGUCCUGUGAUGAUUCAUGAUCUAGAUCUUUGACUACAAGCUGAGACACUCAGGACUGAACAGACUGCACAGUUUCUGUGACCGAGCCUCCAAAACAUCUUCUUUGAAACCACACAUGAUAGAAGGGCUUUAUAUUUGCAGCAGCACUACUAAAGUUGGCAGGAAUGUUGCUGCAGGAAAACAUCC
Molecule: long non-coding RNA, 245 nt
Organism: Oreochromis aureus
Lineage: Eukaryota; Metazoa; Chordata; Actinopteri; Cichliformes; Cichlidae
Exons: 3
Source: RefSeq, a predicted model, not a curated record